Thunnus maccoyii (southern bluefin tuna) is the source of this 823-nucleotide long non-coding RNA. RefSeq lists it as uncharacterized. The transcript has 4 exons. NCBI's taxonomy places the organism in Eukaryota, Metazoa, Chordata, Actinopteri, Scombriformes, Scombridae. The record is from RefSeq and is a predicted model, not a curated record.
AACAUCUGGGAAAAUGUCAAGUGAUCAAUCUGAUUGUGUGCGCGUGCGCGGGCGUGCACCUGUCAUAAGCGACACAGAUGUUACAUAUCGGUUUCGUCAUUCCGUCGGAAAACCGAUGAAACUGGAGGGAUUUCAAACCAACAUCUGCAGAAACAACAAAUAGCUGCAGCUGGGGAUGGAGGGUUCCCAUUUGGUUCUCACCCACAGACUCCAGUUCAGAUUGACUCGGACAUGUCUGCUCACAGGCGACAAUGAGCAGACUGUCACCACAGCAACAGAGGGCACAGUGCCAGAUUAAGCAGUGUGAGGGCAAUUGUGGAGAUGACCAUCGGGAGACUAAAUGGUAAAUGGAGGUGUCUCCUAAAGAGAAAUUGAACCUUACGAAGAAGAGGGUUCUGGCCUGUUGUGUGUAGCAUCUGUGAAGAGCAAUGCUAUUAGUACUCUGAAGAUGUUCCAGUGAUGCAUGUGAACAUGGAGCCUCCUGUUCGUGUGUUACAAGAACAUCAACAGCAGAAGAAGCUGAUGUGUAUUUUAAGUCUGACUGAUGGACUGAGCAGAAUUGUACUGUAGGCAACUGUAUUUUUUAUAAAUAAUUUCUGUUUGUGCUGUACUGUACCUUCUCUGCUUUGCAUAUCUUUUUUUUUUUUACUGCAUGUGCAUCCACAAUACAAUAUUUAUUUAUUCACUGUUUUUCCAUGUAGCACAGUUGAGAGCAGUAGCAUUUUUGGCAUUUUACUGUACACGAUAUUGUAGCAAAGUUCUGUAUUAAAAGAAAAUAGAACUUUUUGACAUGUCAAACUAAAAUAAAAACAGACUUUGCAAA